Long non-coding RNA from Hylaeus volcanicus, 560 nucleotides. RefSeq lists it as uncharacterized. The transcript is spliced from 4 exons. Lineage: Eukaryota; Metazoa; Arthropoda; Insecta; Hymenoptera; Colletidae. The record is from RefSeq and is a predicted model, not a curated record.
AGUGACAACCAAUCACGUUUAACGUUUCUUUGGAACUUUUAAAUGCUGAAAUUUCAUUGGCCGAGCACCCAAAACCCAAUGCGCAGAAGAACGACGCCGAGAACGUGGCGUCCUUCGUUCGGCGGCAAUCGGAGAGAGCAGACGUGCGUGUCGAUCGGUGAUCCGGCAAUUAAUAGGAUAUGACGCCAUGAGUCUGCGUAACGUUCACCAACGGCCAUUUUCCGUUCAAAUGACUUGUACUGUACGUGUAAAAUUUCCAUCGAAAUUUCUGGACACCAUAACGCCAGAAAAAUUGUGCAGCUUACCGGGGAAAGCAGAAUAAUAGGUUUUAUACGUCAUCCAGUAAAAGUUCUUCGAUGUUCGACGCAGGUAAAGCAGAACUACUCCGAAGUUCAACGUGGGUAAUGCAGAGGUACUCCAAUGUCGACGUGGGUCAUGCAGAGCUAUUCCGAUGAUUAGCGACAGCAGAGCCACUACGUAACCCUGUAUCAAAACAACGGUUGGUGACUGAACCAAAUUGUCAAUGGACUAUUUGACAAUAAAAACACUGCUAUGAAGUA